RNAcentral lists this ribosomal RNA (328 nucleotides) under uncultured eukaryote. RNAcentral's name for it is "partial 18S ribosomal RNA". It matches the Rfam family "Eukaryotic small subunit ribosomal RNA", at positions 1470 to 1796 of the family's 1831-position model. The record is from RNAcentral.
CCCUUAGAUGUCCUGGGCCGCACGCGCGUUACACUGAUGCAUUCAACGAGCUUAUAACCUUGGCCGAGAGGCCUGGGCAAUCUUGCUAACGUGCAUCGUGAUAGGGAUAGAUUAUUGAAAUUAUUAAUCUUGAACGAGGAAUUCCUAGUAAACGCAGAUCAUCAAUCUGCAUUGAUUACGUCCCUGCCCUUUGUACACACCGCCCGUCGCACCUACCGAUUGGAUGGUCCGGUGAAGCCUCGGGAUUGUGGUUCUUGCCGCUUUAUUGUAGCGUGACCGCGAGAACUUGUCUAAACCUUAUCAUCUAGAGGAAGGUGAAGUCGUAACA